RNAcentral lists this non-coding RNA (308 nucleotides) under Rhodnius prolixus. RNAcentral's name for it is "eukaryotic large subunit ribosomal RNA". It matches the Rfam family "Eukaryotic large subunit ribosomal RNA", at positions 967 to 1333 of the family's 3401-position model. The record is from Rfam by way of RNAcentral. Lineage: Eukaryota; Metazoa; Arthropoda; Insecta; Hemiptera; Reduviidae.
UUUCCCUCAGGAGAGCUUGCACUCGAUUGAGACGAUUCUCAUCCGGUAGAGCGAAUGAUUAGAGGCAUUGUGGGGUCGAAACAACCUCAACAUCUAUUCUCAAACUCCAAAUAGAUGAGAUCCUCCCGGGCUUUCUUAAAAGUGAAGCCGUGGGAAUAGGAUCAGAGUGCCAAGUUGGCCAAUUUUGGUAAGCAGAAGCUGGCGCUGUGGGAUGAACCAAACGCAGAGCUAAGGCGCCUAAAUUGACGCUCAAUUCCCUGCGUAAAGGUUGCACUACAGGAAUAAUUUUUUAAUUAAAUUGCUCUUCG